Molecule: ribosomal RNA, 158 nt
Filed under: Klebsiella pneumoniae
Lineage: Bacteria; Pseudomonadati; Pseudomonadota; Gammaproteobacteria; Enterobacterales; Enterobacteriaceae
Description: partial 16S ribosomal RNA
Rfam family: Bacterial small subunit ribosomal RNA
Source: RNAcentral
GUACACACCGCCCGUCACACCACGGGAGUUGGGGGCGCCCGAAGCCGGAUUGCUAACCUUUUGGAAGCGUCCGUCGAAGGUGAAAUCAAUAACUGGGGUGAAGUCGUAACAAGGUAGCCGUAUCGGAAGGUGCGGCUGGAUCACCUCCUUUCUAAGGA